UGUUCUGGUGUUCUGGUUUUCUUUUUCGUCCGUGUUGGUUCUAUCUACUACCUGAGCCAACGGUAUUGAAUGUAAACAUUAAUAAACGAGGCACGCCAUUAUGAAAAUGUAUUGCAAAAAUCAUCAAGAUGACAAGGAAUGUGCAAAUCACAUAAAAUUCCCCAAAUGUGCCAUGUUUGCAGAUACAUUUCUUAAUGCGCAAUGGAAACAAUUUCUACUUCGAUUUGUACUGCCUGAGCCAAUAUUCUUCAAUGUUAACAUUAAUAUACGAGGCACUCCAUUAUGAAAAUGUAUUUGAAAAAUCAUCAAGAAGACAAGGAAUGUGCAAAUGACAUACAAUUCCCAAGUGUGCCAUGGUUGCAGGUUCAUUUGUUAAUGCGUAAUUGUAGCAAUUUCGUUCGUAAAAGACUGAGUCUCGCUGUAUUGCUCAGGCCGAACUCCAGCGUCUAUUCACAGGUGCUAUCCAACUACUGAUCGAUACGGGGGCUUUGACCUGCUCCGUUUCCGACCUGGGCCGGUGCACCCCUCCUGAGACGACCUGGUGAUCUCGGGCUCCCCCAGGAGCACCAUAUCGACACCGAUCUUAGUGUGGACAUCCGCUCGUCAUAGCUCACUGCAGCCCCGAUCCCCUGAACUCAAACGAUCCGCCAGUCUCAGCCUCCCAGAUGCUUGGACUACAGGGGCACGCCACUGCUCCCGGCGAAAGCAGAGGCGCUGUGCAUUGGGUUUGGGUUUGGUUUUGGAUUAUGUCAGCAUGCCAGAUUACCGAAUGUGCUUGAAAAUGAGUCAUUGUUCUGGUGUUCUGGUUUUCUUUUUCGUCCGUGUUGGUUCUAUCUACUACCUGAGCCAACGGUAUUGAAUGUAAACAUUAAUAAACGAGGCACGCCAUUAUGAAAAUGUAUUGCAAAAAUCAUCAAGAUGACAAGGAAUGUGCAAAUCACAUAAAAUUCCCCAAAUGUGCCAUGUUUGCAGAUACAUUUCUUAAUGCGCAAUGGAAACAAUUUCUACUUCGAUUUGUACUGCCUGAGCCAAUAUUCUUCAAUGUUAACAUUAAUAUACGAGGCACUCCAUUAUGAAAAUGUAUUUGAAAAAUCAUCAAGAAGACAAGGAAUGUGCAAAUGACAUACAAUUCCCAAGUGUGCCAUGGUUGCAGGUUCAUUUGUUAAUGCGUAAUUGUAGCAAUUUCGUUCGUAAAAGACUGAGUCUCGCUGUAUUGCUCAGGCCGAACUCCAGCGUCUAUUCACAGGUGCUAUCCAACUACUGAUCGAUACGGGGGCUUUGACCUGCUCCGUUUCCGACCUGGGCCGGUGCACCCCUCCUGAGACGACCUGGUGAUCUCGGGCUCCCCCAGGAGCACCAUAUCGACACCGAUCUUAGUGUGGACAUCCGCUCGUCAUAGCUCACUGCAGCCCCGAUCCCCUGAACUCAAACGAUCCGCCAGUCUCAGCCUCCCAGAUGCUUGGACUACAGGGGCACGCCACUGCUCCCGGCGAAAGCAGAGGCGCUGUGCAUUGGGUUUGGGUUUGGUUUUGGAUUAUGUCAGCAUGCCAGAUUACCGAAUGUGCUUGAAAAUGAGUCAUUGUUCUGGUGUUCUGGUUUUCUUUUUCGUCCGUGUUGGUUCUAUCUACUACCUGAGCCAACGGUAUUGAAUGUAAACAUUAAUAAACGAGGCACGCCAUUAUGAAAAUGUAUUGCAAAAAUCAUCAAGAUGACAAGGAAUGUGCAAAUCACAUAAAAUUCCCCAAAUGUGCCAUGUUUGCAGAUACAUUUCUUAAUGCGCAAUGGAAACAAUUUCUACUUCGAUUUGUACUGCCUGAGCCAAUAUUCUUCAAUGUUAACAUUAAUAUACGAGGCACUCCAUUAUGAAAAUGUAUUUGAAAAAUCAUCAAGAAGACAAGGAAUGUGCAAAUGACAUACAAUUCCCAAGUGUGCCAUGGUUGCAGGUUCAUUUGUUAAUGCGUAAUUGUAGCAAUUUCGUUCGUAAAAGACUGAGUCUCGCUGUAUUGCUCAGGCCGAACUCCAGCGUCUAUUCACAGGUGCUAUCCAACUACUGAUCGAUACGGGGGCUUUGACCUGCUCCGUUUCCGACCUGGGCCGGUGCACCCCUCCUGAGACGACCUGGUGAUCUCGGGCUCCCCCAGGAGCACCAUAUCGACACCGAUCUUAGUGUGGACAUCCGCUCGUCAUAGCUCACUGCAGCCCCGAUCCCCUGAACUCAAACGAUCCGCCAGUCUCAGCCUCCCAGAUGCUUGGACUACAGGGGCACGCCACUGCUCCCGGCGAAAGCAGAGGCGCUGUGCAUUGGGUUUGGGUUUGGUUUUGGAUUAUGUCAGCAUGCCAGAUUACCGAAUGUGCUUGAAAAUGAGUCAUUGUUCUGGUGUUCUGGUUUUCUUUUUCGUCCGUGUUGGUUCUAUCUACUACCUGAGCCAACGGUAUUGAAUGUAAACAUUAAUAAACGAGGCACGCCAUUAUGAAAAUGUAUUGCAAAAAUCAUCAAGAUGACAAGGAAUGUGCAAAUCACAUAAAAUUCCCCAAAUGUGCCAUGUUUGCAGAUACAUUUCUUAAUGCGCAAUGGAAACAAUUUCUACUUCGAUUUGUACUGCCUGAGCCAAUAUUCUUCAAUGUUAACAUUAAUAUACGAGGCACGCCAUUAUGAAAAUGUAUUUGAAAAAUCAUCAAGAAGACAAGGAAUGUGCAAAUGACAUACAAUUCCCAAGUGUGCCAUGGUUGCAGGUUCAUUUGUUAAUGCGUAAUUGUAGCAAUUUCGUUCGUAAAAGACUGAGUCUCGCUGUAUUGCUCAGGCCGAACUCCAGCGUCUAUUCACAGGUGCUAUCCAACUACUGAUCGAUACGGGGGCUUUGACCUGCUCCGUUUCCGACCUGGGCCGGUGCACCCCUCCUGAGACGACCUGGUGAUCUCGGGCUCCCCCAGGAGCACCAUAUCGACACCGAUCUUAGUGUGGACAUCCGCUCGUCAUAGCUCACUGCAGCCCCGAUCCCCUGAACUCAAACGAUCCGCCAGUCUCAGCCUCCCAGAUGCUUGGACUACAGGGGCACGCCACUGCUCCCGGCGAAAGCAGAGGCGCUGUGCAUUGGGUUUGGGUUUGGUUUUGGAUUAUGUCAGCAUGCCAGAUUACCGAAUGUGCUUGAAAAUGAGUCAUUGUUCUGGUGUUCUGGUUUUCUUUUUCGUCCGUGUUGGUUCUAUCUACUACCUGAGCCAACGGUAUUGAAUGUAAACAUUAAUAAACGAGGCACGCCAUUAUGAAAAUGUAUUGCAAAAAUCAUCAAGAUGACAAGGAAUGUGCAAAUCACAUAAAAUUCCCCAAAUGUGCCAUGUUUGCAGAUACAUUUCUUAAUGCGCAAUGGAAACAAUUUCUACUUCGAUUUGUACUGCCUGAGCCAAUAUUCUUCAAUGUUAACAUUAAUAUACGAGGCACUCCAUUAUGAAAAUGUAUUUGAAAAAUCAUCAAGAAGACAAGGAAUGUGCAAAUGACAUACAAUUCCCAAGUGUGCCAUGGUUGCAGGUUCAUUUGUUAAUGCGUAAUUGUAGCAAUUUCGUUCGUAAAAGACUGAGUCUCGCUGUAUUGCUCAGGCCGAACUCCAGCGUCUAUUCACAGGUGCUAUCCAACUACUGAUCGAUACGGGGGCUUUGACCUGCUCCGUUUCCGACCUGGGCCGGUGCACCCCUCCUGAGACGACCUGGUGAUCUCGGGCUCCCCCAGGAGCACCAUAUCGACACCGAUCUUAGUGUGGACAUCCGCUCGUCAUAGCUCACUGCAGCCCCGAUCCCCUGAACUCAAACGAUCCGCCAGUCUCAGCCUCCCAGAUGCUUGGACUACAGGGGCACGCCACUGCUCCCGGCGAAAGCAGAGGCGCUGUGCAUUGGGUUUGGUUUUGGAUUAUGUCAGCAUGCCAGAUUACCGAAUGUGCUUGAAAAUGAGUCAUUGUUCUGGUGUUCUGGUUUUCUUUUUCGUCCGUGUUGGUUCUAUCUACUACCUGAGCCAACGGUAUUGAAUGUAAACAUUAAUAAACGAGGCACGCCAUUAUGAAAAUGUAUUGCAAAAAUCAUCAAGAUGACAAGGAAUGUGCAAAUCACAUAAAAUUCCCCAAAUGUGCCAUGUUUGCAGAUACAUUUCUUAAUGCGCAAUGGAAACAAUUUCUACUUCGAUUUGUACUGCCUGAGCCAAUAUUCUUCAAUGUUAACAUUAAUAUACGAGGCACUCCAUUAUGAAAAUGUAUUUGAAAAAUCAUCAAGAAGACAAGGAAUGUGCAAAUGACAUACAAUUCCCAAGUGUGCCAUGGUUGCAGGUUCAUUUGUUAAUGCGUAAUUGUAGCAAUUUCGUUCGUAAAAGACUGAGUCUCGCUGUAUUGCUCAGGCCGAACUCCAGCGUCUAUUCACAGGUGCUAUCCAACUACUGAUCGAUACGGGGGCUUUGACCUGCUCCGUUUCCGACCUGGGCCGGUGCACCCCUCCUGAGACGACCUGGUGAUCUCGGGCUCCCCCAGGAGCACCAUAUCGACACCGAUCUUAGUGUGGACAUCCGCUCGUCAUAGCUCACUGCAGCCCCGAUCCCCUGAACUCAAACGAUCCGCCAGUCUCAGCCUCCCAGAUGCUUGGACUACAGGGGCACGCCACUGCUCCCGGCGAAAGCAGAGGCGCUGUGCAUUGGGUUUGGCUUUGGUUUUGGAUUAUGUCAGCAUGCCAGAUUACCGAAUGUGCUUGAAAAUGAGUCAUUGUUCUGGUUAAAAUAAAAAUAUCCAACAACAUUUUCAGAUUCAAUGCAAGAGGUUUUCUUUUUCGUCCGUGUUGGUUCUAUCUACUACCUGAGCCAACGGUAUUGAAUGUAAACAUUAAUAAACGAGGCACGCCAUUAUGAAAAUGUAUUGCAAAAAUCAUCAAGAUGACAAGGAAUGUGCAAAUCACAUAAAAUUCCCCAAAUGUGCCAUGUUUGCAGAUACAUUUCUUAAUGCGCAAUGGAAACAAUUUCUACUUCGAUUUGUACUGCCUGAGCCAAUAUUCUUCAAUGUUAACAUUAAUAUACGAGGCACUCCAUUAUGAAAAUGUAUUUGAAAAAUCAUCAAGAAGACAAGGAAUGUGCAAAUGACAUACAAUUCCCAAGUGUGCCAUGGUUGCAGGUUCAUUUGUUAAUGCGUAAUUGUAGCAAUUUCGUUCGUAAAAGACUGAGUCUCGCUGUAUUGCUCAGGCCGAACUCCAGCGUCUAUUCACAGGUGCUAUCCAACUACUGAUCGAUACGGGGGCUUUGACCUGCUCCGUUUCCGACCUGGGCCGGUGCACCCCUCCUGAGACGACCUGGUGAUCUCGGGCUCCCCCAGGAGCACCAUAUCGACACCGAUCUUAGUGUGGACAUCCGCUCGUCAUAGCUCACUGCAGCCCCGAUCCCCUGAACUCAAACGAUCCGCCAGUCUCAGCCUCCCAGAUGCUUGGACUACAGGGGCACGCCACUGCUCCCGGCGAAAGCAGAGGCGCUGUGCAUUGGGUUUGGCUUUGGUUUUGGAUUAUGUCAGCAUGCCAGAUUACCGAAUGUGCUUGAAAAUGAGUCAUUGUUCUGGUGUUCUGGUUUUCUUUUUCGUCCGUGUUGGUUCUAUCUACUACCUGAGCCAACGGUAUUGAAUGUAAACAUUAAUAAACGAGGCACGCCAUUAUGAAAAUGUAUUGCAAAAAUCAUCAAGAUGACAAGGAAUGUGCAAAUCACAUAAAAUUCCCCAAAUGUGCCAUGUUUGCAGAUACAUUUCUUAAUGCGCAAUGGAAACAAUUUCUACUUCGAUUUGUACUGCCUGAGCCAAUAUUCUUCAAUGUUAACAUUAAUAUACGAGGCACUCCAUUAUGAAAAUGUAUUUGAAAAAUCAUCAAGAAGACAAGGAAUGUGCAAAUGACAUACAAUUCCCAAGUGUGCCAUGGUUGCAGGUUCAUUUGUUAAUGCGUAAUUGUAGCAAUUUCGUUCGUAAAAGACUGAGUCUCGCUGUAUUGCUCAGGCCGAACUCCAGCGUCUAUUCACAGGUGCUAUCCAACUACUGAUCGAUACGGGGGCUUUGACCUGCUCCGUUUCCGACCUGGGCCGGUGCACCCCUCCUGAGACGACCUGGUGAUCUCGGGCUCCCCCAGGAGCACCAUAUCGACACCGAUCUUAGUGUGGACAUCCGCUCGUCAUAGCUCACUGCAGCCCCGAUCCCCUGAACUCAAACGAUCCGCCAGUCUCAGCCUCCCAGAUGCUUGGACUACAGGGGCACGCCACUGCUCCCGGCGAAAGCAGAGGCGCUGUGCAUUGGGUUUGGCUUUGGUUUUGGAUUAUGUCAGCAUGCCAGAUUACCGAAUGUGCUUGAAAAUGAGUCAUUGUUCUGGUGUUCUGGUUUUCUUUUUCGUCCGUGUUGGUUCUAUCUACUACCUGAGCCAACGGUAUUGAAUGUAAACAUUAAUAAACGAGGCACGCCAUUAUGAAAAUGUAUUGCAAAAAUCAUCAAGAUGACAAGGAAUGUGCAAAUCACAUAAAAUUCCCCAAAUGUGCCAUGUUUGCAGAUACAUUUCUUAAUGCGCAAUGGAAACAAUUUCUACUUCGAUUUGUACUGCCUGAGCCAAUAUUCUUCAAUGUUAACAUUAAUAUACGAGGCACUCCAUUAUGAAAAUGUAUUUGAAAAAUCAUCAAGAAGACAAGGAAUGUGCAAAUGACAUACAAUUCCCAAGUGUGCCAUGGUUGCAGGUUCAUUUGUUAAUGCGUAAUUGUAGCAAUUUCGUUCGUAAAAGACUGAGUCUCGCUGUAUUGCUCAGGCCGAACUCCAGCGUCUAUUCACAGGUGCUAUCCAACUACUGAUCGAUACGGGGGCUUUGACCUGCUCCGUUUCCGACCUGGGCCGGUGCACCCCUCCUGAGACGACCUGGUGAUCUCGGGCUCCCCCAGGAGCACCAUAUCGACACCGAUCUUAGUGUGGACAUCCGCUCGUCAUAGCUCACUGCAGCCCCGAUCCCCUGAACUCAAACGAUCCGCCAGUCUCAGCCUCCCAGAUGCUUGGACUACAGGGGCACGCCACUGCUCCCGGCGAAAGCAGAGGCGCUGUGCAUUGGGUUUGGCUUUGGUUUUGGAUUAUGUCAGCAUGCCAGAUUACCGAAUGUGCUUGAAAAUGAGUCAUUGUUCUGGUUAAAAUAAAAAUAUCCAACAACAUUUUCAGAUUCAAUGCAAGAGGUUUUCUUUUUCGUCCGUGUUGGUUCUAUCUACUACCUGAGCCAACGGUAUUGAAUGUAAACAUUAAUAAACGAGGCACGCCAUUAUGAAAAUGUAUUGCAAAAAUCAUCAAGAUGACAAGGAAUGUGCAAAUCACAUAAAAUUCCCCAAAUGUGCCAUGUUUGCAGAUACAUUUCUUAAUGCGCAAUGGAAACAAUUUCUACUUCGAUUUGUACUGCCUGAGCCAAUAUUCUUCAAUGUUAACAUUAAUAUACGAGGCACUCCAUUAUGAAAAUGUAUUUGAAAAAUCAUCAAGAAGACAAGGAAUGUGCAAAUGACAUACAAUUCCCAAGUGUGCCAUGGUUGCAGGUUCAUUUGUUAAUGCGUAAUUGUAGCAAUUUCGUUCGUAAAAGACUGAGUCUCGCUGUAUUGCUCAGGCCGAACUCCAGCGUCUAUUCACAGGUGCUAUCCAACUACUGAUCGAUACGGGGGCUUUGACCUGCUCCGUUUCCGACCUGGGCCGGUGCACCCCUCCUGAGACGACCUGGUGAUCUCGGGCUCCCCCAGGAGCACCAUAUCGACACCGAUCUUAGUGUGGACAUCCGCUCGUCAUAGCUCACUGCAGCCCCGAUCCCCUGAACUCAAACGAUCCGCCAGUCUCAGCCUCCCAGAUGCUUGGACUACAGGGGCACGCCACUGCUCCCGGCGAAAGCAGAGGCGCUGUGCAUUGGGUUUGGCUUUGGUUUUGGAUUAUGUCAGCAUGCCAGAUUACCGAAUGUGCUUGAAAAUGAGUCAUUGUUCUGGUGUUCUGGUUUUCUUUUUCGUCCGUGUUGGUUCUAUCUACUACCUGAGCCAACGGUAUUGAAUGUAAACAUUAAUAAACGAGGCACGCCAUUAUGAAAAUGUAUUGCAAAAAUCAUCAAGAUGACAAGGAAUGUGCAAAUCACAUAAAAUUCCCCAAAUGUGCCAUGUUUGCAGAUACAUUUCUUAAUGCGCAAUGGAAACAAUUUCUACUUCGAUUUGUACUGCCUGAGCCAAUAUUCUUCAAUGUUAACAUUAAUAUACGAGGCACUCCAUUAUGAAAAUGUAUUUGAAAAAUCAUCAAGAAGACAAGGAAUGUGCAAAUGACAUACAAUUCCCAAGUGUGCCAUGGUUGCAGGUUCAUUUGUUAAUGCGUAAUUGUAGCAAUUUCGUUCGUAAAAGACUGAGUCUCGCUGUAUUGCUCAGGCCGAACUCCAGCGUCUAUUCACAGGUGCUAUCCAACUACUGAUCGAUACGGGGGCUUUGACCUGCUCCGUUUCCGACCUGGGCCGGUGCAC
Molecule: long non-coding RNA, 8493 nt
Organism: Clupea harengus (Atlantic herring)
Lineage: Eukaryota; Metazoa; Chordata; Actinopteri; Clupeiformes; Clupeidae
Exons: 3
Source: RefSeq, a predicted model, not a curated record